This 253-nucleotide ribosomal RNA is filed under the name Clostridioides difficile. Its description in RNAcentral is "partial 23S ribosomal RNA". It matches the Rfam family "Bacterial large subunit ribosomal RNA", at positions 2487 to 2739 of the family's 2925-position model. The record is from RNAcentral. Lineage: Bacteria; Bacillati; Bacillota; Clostridia; Peptostreptococcales; Peptostreptococcaceae.
CUCCCCCAAGAGUCCACAUCGACGGGGAGGUUUGGCACCUCGAUGUCGGCUCAUCACAUCCUGGGGCUGUAGUAGGUCCCAAGGGUUGGGCUGUUCGCCCAUUAAAGUGGUACGCGAGCUGGGUUAAGAACGUCGUGAGACAGUUCGGUCCCUAUCCGUCGCAGGCGUAGGAAAUUUGAGAAGACCUGUCCUUAGUACGAGAGGACCGGGAUGGACGUACCUCUGGUGUACCAGUUGUUCUGCCAAGGGCAUG